GUUGAGAGAUAAGUUUCUACAGAAACUUCCCAAUGGGAUUGUUAAAUUUAUAUUUUUUAUAGUUUCCUUAUAAUAUAAAACAGCGAUAUACAUAUCACAACUUGUAAUUAGUGAAUCUCCAAUUGCAAUGGAGGAUAAGCUAGCUUACACCAGCCAUGCCUAAGGCUAAGCACUUGCAUUGUUUUAUUUAUUUUUUUGUACAACUGAUUUGGAUGAAGACUCCAAUUGGAAACCUCACAACUUUAGUACCACUUACAUUAUUACCAUGCUACAAGAUUAUUGUAGACAAGAGACAAAUUUCAGGCAGAGACAGAUAGUGCUUGCUCCAUUUUGUUGGCCACAAACUGGAGAAUAGAGUUCCUAGAGGAAUUGAUAUCCUCCAAUUUCCACCCUUCCAUCGGAUCACAAACAAAUGACCAUUCGAUCUUACACCCCUUUUGAUCACCUGCUCCAUCUCCAUUGACCGGCAAUACUUUGAAUGUGGCCGUAUACGGAUUAAAUCCCAUGUUAUUUUCAAUGACCUCGUAGCUUAGACACCGUUCAACUGGAUUUAUCAUGAUGAGCUUCUCUUUGGCCCAGUUGAUGAUGUUCCCACCUGUGCCGUCGGAGGAUGGUUUUGGCUUGGAAGCGCAGUAGCGGACGAGGCCCGGCUUGCCUGGCUCGCCCUCGACUUGGUAACACGUUUCAAGGAUUGGAAACCAUUGAUGAAUAUUGCAGAAGUCCUCAAAGAAAGGCCAUACUUGGUCUGCUGUCGCACCUUUCAGCUCCACUGAGGUCUUCCCUUCCCAUUUCGGCACUGUUUUCUCUGCCAUGUGUGUG
RNAcentral lists this unclassified non-coding RNA (819 nucleotides) under Hevea brasiliensis (rubber tree). The record is from RNAcentral. Lineage: Eukaryota; Viridiplantae; Streptophyta; Magnoliopsida; Malpighiales; Euphorbiaceae.